Molecule: ribosomal RNA, 253 nt
Filed under: uncultured bacterium
Lineage: Bacteria
Description: partial 16S ribosomal RNA
Rfam family: Bacterial small subunit ribosomal RNA
Source: RNAcentral
UACGGAGGGAGCUAGCGUUAUUCGGAAUUACUGGGCGUAAAGCGCACGUAGGCGGCUUUGUAAGUAAGAGGUGAAAGCCCAGAGCUCAACUCUGGAAUUGCCUUUUAGACUGCAUCGCUUGAAUCAUGGAGAGGUCAGUGGAAUUCCGAGUGUAGAGGUGAAAUUCGUAGAUAUUCGGAAGAACACCAUUGGCGAAGGCGGCUGACUGGACAUGUAUUGACGCUGAGGUGCGAAAGCGUGGGGAGCAAACAGG